RNAcentral lists this long non-coding RNA (321 nucleotides) under Panax ginseng (ginseng). RNAcentral's name for it is "long non-coding RNA (PGIN_LNC013535)". Lineage: Eukaryota; Viridiplantae; Streptophyta; Magnoliopsida; Apiales; Araliaceae. The record is from RNAcentral.
AUAUUCUUUACUGGGCUAGUUGAGCUCACCCUUUUCCUUUUUGUUCCAUUUUUCUUCUCAGGAGGCGAGAAUAUAGCGAGUACGAGUCGGGGUAUGGAAUGAAGGUUCUAGAGAGAGUUGUUUAGUAGUCCUCACUAUUUUUAUAAAAUAAUGUAUCAAUAAAUGUGAUGAGGAUUUAUUUGAGUAUAGAUAUUGUCUAGAAGAUAAUAUUUGUAUUCAAACUCACAGUUUUACUGUUGUAAUAAUAAAGUUGUAGUUGUUUCUGUACCAUGUAUUGACAACUCAGAAUGGGUGAUGUAUACCUAUUUUGGGGGCGUCACA